GCACAAGCAGCGGAGCGUGUGGUUUAAUUCGUUGCUACACGAAGAACCUUACCUGGGUUUGACAUAUAGGUUGUAGGGAACUGAAAAGGGACCGACCCUUCGGGGAGCCUAUACAGGUGUUGCAUGGCUGUCGUCAGCUCGUGUCGUGAGAUGUUCGGUUAAGUCCGCUAACGAGCGCAACCCUCGUCGUAUGUUAUAUGUGUCAUACGAGACUGCCGGUAAAAGCCGGAGGAAGGUGAGGAUGAUGUCAAGUCAGCAUGACCUUUAUAUCCAGGGCUACACACACGCUACAAUGGUCUGUACAGUGGGUAGCCAAGCCGCGAGGCGGAGCCAAUCCUGAAAGCAGGCCUCAGUUCAGAUUGCAGUCUGCAACUCGACUGCAUGAAGCCGGAGUUGCUAGUAACCGCAGGUCAGCAAUACUGCGGUGAAUACGUUCCCGGGUCUU
RNAcentral lists this ribosomal RNA (445 nucleotides) under uncultured Anaerolineaceae bacterium. RNAcentral's name for it is "bacterial SSU rRNA". It matches the Rfam family "Bacterial small subunit ribosomal RNA", at positions 923 to 1382 of the family's 1533-position model. Lineage: Bacteria; Bacillati; Chloroflexota; Anaerolineae; Anaerolineales; Anaerolineaceae. The record is from RNAcentral.